This is a long non-coding RNA of Mauremys reevesii (Reeves's turtle), 1106 nucleotides long. RefSeq lists it as uncharacterized. Lineage: Eukaryota; Metazoa; Chordata; Testudines; Geoemydidae. The transcript has 5 exons. The record is from RefSeq and is a predicted model, not a curated record.
CAGCUUCCUCCCGAGCCGGAGGCGUGUGAGCGGCACCAGGGCUGCAGGGGGAGCCGCGGGCACCAGCGAGAGAGCGAGCGAGCGGGGUAGAAAACCGGCCCCCCAGGAGCGUGGCCACCGGGAAGAGGCUCCCCCGCCAGUCCAGGCUCCGGGGCAGUGGUGCCCGACACAUACAGCAAGCAGAGAGCAAGGAAGCAUGCAUCACCAUGGAUAGCAGACAUCUCUUUCCAGGCCAGCAGAGCAGAAUGGAAUCCAAAUAGCCAUUGAUUUAGGCCACUCCGCAGGUCCCCUCCACCCCGUGGCCUCCACCUGUCUGAGGACCGCCUGGAAUAACAGAUACUGAUCUCCUUCAGUCCGAGCCCUGGCCACUGCAGAUUAAGAAACAGGUUGGAACAUCUGGCAAAACAUUCAAACUCAAACUGAAAAGGUCAAUACCACUUCCACUAAUGAACGCUCGGCUGCAGAAGAGCAGAGUAGCCAAAGAUUCAGCCCUUACCGUAAAUCCGAUGCCCACGGUGGCAGAAAAAGAGCCGGGAAUGAACUUGCCCUGGUCAAACUGAACCAGCAGUGAUGUCUUCCCCACUCCGCUGUCUCCGACCAGGAUAGUCUGUAAGAAUCAAAGAGGGCCAUUAGCAUCCCCUGGGGCACAGAGUUUUGUGAAAAUCCAACCGCAUCUGGCUAUGUGGUCACCGCGUCUGAUCAGCAGCUUUCAUGUGCAAAUAACGGCUCCUGCUACACAGAGCCCCCUCAGAGGAGCUGGUCAGCCCGACUUCCUCUUUCUCUGCCUCUGUGGUGGGGCCUAUUCCGCAUGGCUCUCCUGGUGAAUUCUCAGUGAUCUCAGAAAUAACUGAGUUCCAACAUGGAAACCAUCCAGUCCCGCGUAUUAACCGCACAGAGCAGCGCUACCCAGAAGCCAGCCCUAGAGAUGGAGAAUUAUGAUGGCUCCCUGAGCUUCUCUCCUUUCAGAUUCAGUGAGAUGCCACCGUCCCACAAUAAACUCCUACCUCAUGGCCUGAGAAAUGUUAUGAACAGAGCUUCUCAUUUAAACUGAUCCACUCUCCCUGGACCCUUCCUUUUCUCUGACUCUUGCCAAUGUACUUCCUGAA